Long non-coding RNA from Lathyrus oleraceus (garden pea), 1350 nucleotides. RefSeq lists it as uncharacterized. Lineage: Eukaryota; Viridiplantae; Streptophyta; Magnoliopsida; Fabales; Fabaceae. The record is from RefSeq and is a predicted model, not a curated record. The transcript has 4 exons.
CUCUAAAUUUUCCAGCUUAUCAAAAUGGGAGCAAAUUUUGUCCGAAACUUAUUUUUUCCAACCAAACUAUCUUAUCGAACCAAAUUGCUUCCUACUUGGUUCAAGACAAACAUAUCCAAUCUAACCUUUUCAAAUUUUAUCUAUUGCCAAUGUCAGAUCACAUCACUUUUCUCUUUUCUCUUUUCUCUUUUCUCUCACUUCUCACUUCUCGUUUUUCACUUCUCUCUUCUCUCACUUCUCUUUUCUUUUUCUCUUUCUAUUCUUAUUUCUUUUCUCUAUUUCUAUUUCAAAAAUCAUCUUCUUCUCAAUGUUUUUUUCCAUUUGCUUUUCAGAGUUAGUUCUUCAACAAUCUUCUUUGACAAUCUUUUUCUCACUGUAUUGGGUUCUUUUUCUUUACCCUUGAUUUUUGUUUUAAUCUUCUUCGUCAAGAUGGUUAGUGCUUAUGAAGGUUAGCAUCAGAUAUGAAGCAUUCAACUUUGCAAUUACUUUUUGGUUUUCCACUUGAUUGAUGGGUUUAUCAGAUAUGAAGCAUUCAUGACAGACAUUCAAUUUGCAGGCUUGGGUAAACUGAGGUUCAGUGUAAAUGGCUUGCUAGGCAGACUGAAUGAUGCAGAAGAUCUGCUCAUCAAAAGAUGGAUCUUAUUGCAAGAAUCAAGCACCCUUAUAUUGUAGAAUUCAAAGAGGCUUGGGUUAAGAAAGUGAGUGACCCUCUUAAUUCUCUAUUGAUAGCUAAAAAUUUCAUUUUGUUUGUUCUAAACCGAUAUCGAGUGAACUAUGAUCAUGGUUUUGAAUCGUGAUCUAAAGGUAUACACUUGUAUGAAACAAAAUAUAUGGAUGAAGUAUACCUUCAUUCAAAUUACUUUUGGACGAAGUAACUCUGCAAAUAGUUCACUCAAUUACUUUUCGCGGUAGUAUAUUUGGCUUGCAUUUCUUGUCAUCAAUUCGUAGUAUAUUUGAUCUGAUUUGUUGACUCUGUUGACAAUGUUCCAACAUCUUCAAUUUGUCGUCAAAUUCUCUAUGUAAGAAGAUUGCAGGAGGAUGAAGUUGGCACUUAAGCAAGCAAAGGGAUGCUCCCUUAUACUUGGAGUGGGCUCCUUCCAAUGUUGUUAGCCCAAAAUCAAUAUCUAAAGAUAACGAGAUGAAUAGUAGAAUUGCUGAAAAGGAUGUCAAGCGACAAAUACUUGAGCAAGAUGUUGAAAGAAUAUCAAAUGUAAAAAUCAAUCCAGAUAAAGUGAUAUUGUUUGUUGUGAUAAGUGAAGAAAAAGUAAGGUCAAAUGAUAAAUAUAAAUAUAAAUAUAAAUAUAAAUAUAAAUAUAAAUAUAAAAUUAAAAUUAAAAUUUAUUAUUAUUA